This is a long non-coding RNA of Mizuhopecten yessoensis (Yesso scallop), 547 nucleotides long. RefSeq lists it as uncharacterized. The transcript has 3 exons. The record is from RefSeq and is a predicted model, not a curated record. NCBI's taxonomy places the organism in Eukaryota, Metazoa, Mollusca, Bivalvia, Pectinida, Pectinidae.
UUAAUCUGUAUUUACAGUGUGUCUGGCACCAGUGGCCCGCACAUGGUCACAACAGGUGAGACUGAAGCACAAGUUCAACAACAAGAAAUCAUGGCUGAAUCCACGUUCUCACAAAUACAGAAUAUUCCAGGUGGCAACCCAACCUUUGUUUUUACCUGAGGAUUUUCCUGUCAAGGCCUGUCCUCAAUUAGAACGGAAGAAGAAAAUACUGGAGGAGGGUGAUAAUGUGAUGGGUCAUGCGGAGGAGUUUAUCUAUCGGGGCUGUGAGCGUAUGUUUCGGGAGAACAAGAUGAUUGUGGUUUGUCAGAACCUUCCCAGUCCGGCUGUUGACAUAGCCAAGGCAAAAGCAAUGCUUGAUAAAUCAGGCAUGAAGCUAAAAGUAUACAGUAAUAGAUAUGCACGGAUGGCUGUAACUGGAACAGAAUUAGAAAGUAUGAAGCCGUGGUUCCAAGGGAGAAACAUCUUCAUCGUCUCUGAGGAGCAAAAUGUUGUAUCACUUGUCAGAGAUCUCAAGAAAAUACCAUUCUUAAUGUUGUUAGGUAGGUUU